GGUUUCCUCUGGGGUAAGUGAUUGCUUCUACACUGUGAAAAUUUGGCUGAGAGACUCAGACUGGUCAUGGGUAGACCUAUCUGGGGUUUGAUCGAUGCCACUCCUGGUUUCAGGAGCACCCUUCAUAAUAAACCUAGAAAUUCAGUAUUAUAAAGUUUAAUAAAAAACAACUUUUAACAAUGGAUCUCUUGGUUCUCGCAUCGAUGAAGAACGUAGCAAAGUGCGAUAACUAGUGUGAAUUGCAUAUUCAGUGAAUCAUCGAGUCUUUGAACGCAGCUUGCACUCUAUGGUUUUUCUAUAGAGUACGCCUGCUUCAGUAUCAUCACAAACCCACACAUAACAUUUGUUUAUGUGGUGAUGGGUCGCAUCGCUGUUUUAUUACAGUGAGCACCUAAAAUGUGUGUGAUUUUCUGUCUGGCUUGCUAGGCAGGAAUAUUACGCUGGUCUCAGGAUCUUUUUUUUUGGUUCGCCCAGGAAGUAAAGUACAAGAGUAUAAUCCAGUAACUUUCAAACUAUGAUCUGAAGUCAGGUGGGAUUACCCGCUGAACUUAAGCAUAUCAAUAAGCGGAGGAAAAGAAAAUAACAAUGAUUUCCCUAGUAACGGCGAGUGAAGAGGAAAGAGCUCAAAGUUGGAACCUGUUUGGCCUAGCUAAACCGGAUUGUAGACUGUAGAAGUGUUUUCCAGGCAAGCCGAGUAAAUAAGUCCUUUGGAACAGGGCAUCAUAGAGGGUGAGAAUCCCGUCUUUGGCUUGAGCAUUUGCCUUUUGUGAUACGCUUUCAAAGAGUCAGGUUGUUUGGGAAUGCAGCCUAAAUUGGGUGGUAAAUCUCACCUAAAGCUAAAUAUUGGCGAGAAACCGAUAGCGAACAAGUACCGUGAGGGAAAGAUGAAAAGAACUUUGAAAAGAGAGUUAAACAGUAUGUGAAAUUGUUAAAAGGGAACCGUUUGGAGCCAGACUGGCUUGUCUGUAAUCAAUCUAGGCUUCGGCCUGGAUGCACUUGCAGGCUAUGCCUGCCAACGACAAUUUGACUUGAGGGAAAAAACUAAGGGAAAUGUGGCCCACUUGUGGGUGUUAUAGUCCCUUAGAAAAUACCUUGGGUUGGAUUGAGGAACGCAGCGAAUGCUUUUUGGCGAGUUUUCCAGGAAGGUUUUCUGAGGUACUACGGUAUCAAGGUUGAUC
RNAcentral lists this ribosomal RNA (1178 nucleotides) under fungal endophyte. RNAcentral's name for it is "eukaryotic LSU rRNA". The stretch from base 516 to 1178 matches the Rfam family "Eukaryotic large subunit ribosomal RNA", at positions 1 to 618 of the family's 3401-position model. The record is from RNAcentral. Lineage: Eukaryota; Fungi.